AGUGAACGCUGGCGGUAGGCCUAACACAUGCAAGUCGAACGGCAGCACAGGAGAGCUUGCUCUCUGGGUGGCGAGUGGCGGACGGGUGAGGAAUACAUCGGAAUCUACUUUUUCGCGGGGGAUAACGUAGGGAAACUUACGCUAAUACCGCAUACGACCUACGGGUGAAAGCAGGGGAUCUUCGGACCUUGCGCGAUUGAAUGAGCCGAUGUCGGAUUAGCUAGUUGGCGGGGUAAAGGCCCACCAAGGCGACGAUGCGUAGCUGGUCUGUGAGGAUGAUCAGCCACACGUGAACUGAGACACGGUCCAGACUCCUUAGGGAGGCAACAGUGGGAAUAUUGUACAAUGGGCGGAAGCCUGAUCCAGCCAUACCGCGUGGGGGAAGAAGGCCUUCGGGUUGUAAAGCCCUUUUGUUGGGAAAAAAAUCCAGCUGGUUAAUACCCGGUUGGGAUGACGGUACCCAAAGAAUAAGCACCGGCUAACUUCGUGCCAGCCGCCGCAGUAA
This 505-nucleotide ribosomal RNA is filed under the name uncultured bacterium. Its description in RNAcentral is "partial 16S ribosomal RNA". It matches the Rfam family "Bacterial small subunit ribosomal RNA", at positions 29 to 523 of the family's 1533-position model. The record is from RNAcentral.